Molecule: transfer RNA, 75 nt
Filed under: Ignavibacteria bacterium GWF2_35_20
Lineage: Bacteria; Pseudomonadati; Ignavibacteriota; Ignavibacteria
Also listed under: 1 other name
Description: tRNA-Gly
Rfam family: tRNA
About the family: Transfer RNA (tRNA) molecules are approximately 80 nucleotides in length.
Source: RNAcentral
GCGGCAGUAAUUCAGUGGUAGAAUGUCAGCUUCCCAAGCUGGACGUCGCGGGUUCAAGUCCCGUCUGCCGCUCAA